This 362-nucleotide long non-coding RNA is filed under the name Cucumis sativus (cucumber). Its description in RNAcentral is "long non-coding RNA (CSAT_LNC001990)". The record is from RNAcentral. Lineage: Eukaryota; Viridiplantae; Streptophyta; Magnoliopsida; Cucurbitales; Cucurbitaceae.
AGAACCCUCCACUAACAAAACUAUCAUUUUAUUCCACAAAAACAAAUAGUCCAUAUCAACUCAAAGCACAUACCAAAACUUAGACAAAUGGUAAUGGAAAAAGGGCAAAAGGAAUUAAAUAAAGAAAGAAAAGAGAUGAUCAUAUAAAAGUUAAACCACAUCUCUUCUUCUUUGUCACCCACUUUCUUCUUCUUCUUCUUCAUUGGGGCGGUUCUCAUUGGUCAGUUGCCCCCACGUGUACUCAUUUUAUUGGCACUCAUAAUGGACUUUGGGACCCUAUGUGUCCCCUCUCAGUUCUCUUUUCUUUCUUUAUUUAUUUUAAGAAAAAAUAAUUGUACUUAAUAUAUAUAUGUGUGUGUGUG